This 468-nucleotide ribosomal RNA is filed under the name uncultured bacterium. RNAcentral's name for it is "partial 16S ribosomal RNA". It matches the Rfam family "Bacterial small subunit ribosomal RNA", at positions 28 to 507 of the family's 1533-position model. The record is from RNAcentral.
GACGAACGCUGGCGGCGUGCUUAACACAUGCAAGUCGAACGGAAAGGCCCUGCUUUUGUGGGGUGCUCGAGUGGCGAACGGGUGAGUAACACGUGAGUAACCUGCCCUUGACUUUGGGAUAACUUCAGGAAACUGGGGCUAAUACCGGAUAGGAGCUCCUGCUGCAUGGUGGGGGUUGGAAAGUUUCGGCGGUUGGGGAUGGACUCGCGGCUUAUCAGCUUGUUGGUGGGGUAGUGGCUUACCAAGGCUUUGACGGGUAGCCGGCCUGAGAGCGUGACCGGCCACAUUGGGACUGAGAUACGGCCCAGAGUGCUACGGGAGGCAGCAGUGGGGAGUAUUGCACAAUGGGCGGAAGCCUGAUGCAGAAACGCCGCGUGCGGGAUGACGGCCUUCGGGUUGUAAACCGCUUUCGCCUGUGACGAAGCGUGAGUGACGGUAAUGGGUAAAGAAGCACCGGCUAACUACGUG